Molecule: non-coding RNA, 96 nt
Filed under: Mammaliicoccus lentus
Lineage: Bacteria; Bacillati; Bacillota; Bacilli; Caryophanales; Staphylococcaceae
Description: SAM riboswitch (S box leader)
Rfam family: SAM riboswitch aptamer (S box leader)
About the family: The SAM riboswitch is found upstream of a number of genes which code for proteins involved in methionine or cysteine biosynthesis in Gram-positive bacteria. The SAM riboswitch acts at the level of transcription termination control. The predicted structure consists of a complex stem-loop region followed by a single stem loop terminator region.
Source: RNAcentral
AUUAUCAAGAGUGACUGAGGGAAAGGCCCUUUGACGUCCAGCAACCUCCCUACAUGGAAAGGUGCCAAAUCCUGCAGUGUUCAACUGAGAGAUAAA